UUUUUUUUUUCCCCCCCUUCAAAUAGCCUUAUCCAUAUUCCCUUUUUAAGUGCUUUUAUUUAUUACUCCAUUUUCAAAUUUCAAAUUUGGAAAUUUUAGAACCUCUAUUUAAAAUCCAACUUCCCCACUCCUCCUCUUCACAGAUCUAAAUCUCAAUAAUAAUCUCUCUCAUCAAUUCUAGAAUUUUCUUCUUCCUUAUUCUUCAAUGGCGGUUCGAACUGUAUACGGUUUAAUUUUCUUAACAGCAUCUAGUUCUUGCUUUAUCUUCCUAUACCUCCUUCUUCAACCUAUUUUCUACUUCACCGCUUAAUAAGCCGAUCUGAACCGGCCGGUCUGAACCGCCCGAAGAUCAGUCGAUGAACCGGAAGUUUUUACUCGGCGGUCGGUUCGUAGAGGAUUGAAAGUAUGUUAAAUUGUACUUAUACGUUACUUUAUUUUGGAUUUGAAUGAAAAAGUUACACGGCGAUUUGGCCUUUCGUUUUAUUGUUUGGUUUUUGUUUUAAUGGAUCUGGAUUUGUUUUGGAAAAAAUAGCUUUAAUUUGUUUUAUUAAUCAUAGAUUAUUGUCUUAUUUCAUAGCUCUAAUUGUCUAAUUGCAAAGCAAUUAGCUUUAUUCAAUCACUUUUAUUUGUUAGGUUUCUAUUCAUACGAGUUAAUUUGGCUAAUUUUUUUGAGAUAAAUUAAAUUAGAUUAAUUUAAUAUUUUUAAUUUUAAAUCUUUAAAAAUUAUAAGAAAAUAACUAUGAUGAAAAAUACAUCUUAAAAUACGGAUUAAAAUGCAUAGUUAAAGUUAAAGUGAAACGGGUUACUUUACCAUGUUGAAUUUGCUAGAACAAGUUGAUUCAUAAUUUCCUUAAUAAAAGGCUUGCAAAUUUGUGCAAAUCUGUGACAAAAUAUUAUUUUGCUACUUCCUCUAGUCUAAUUUAAGUUUCAUAAUUGAAAUUUGAUAUUUAAACAUCUAAACUUAGAUCGAUAUUCAAAAACUACAUACAAAGUACUAUUCAAUCACAAUUAUUAGCAAGUAUCUAGAGCCAUGUAAAAGGUAUUGGUUAAUUUUCGAAAUUUUAAUUGUGAUAUGUAAAUUAAGAUAAAAGAAGUACCUUUAUUCGUUUUUUAUUAUGAUUAAUAAGAUAAGGAUAAAAAUUGUACAAGAUAAGGAUAAAAAUUGUACGCACUUCGAUUCCGGAAGAACUUUUGAAAUUUUCGAACUUGUUCUUGUGUAUUAAAAUUUUGGCAUUGUAUUGGUUCAAAUGGAACUCGUGAAUGUGAUACCGGUCACGGUUUUGAAAGUGUUUACACGUAAGGUGUUUUGAAAGUGUUUACAGGUAAGGUUAAAGUUUUUGGAAGCGUUUACACAUAAUAGAAUUUCUUUAGAGAAUAUAAGGCAUUUAUGAUCGGAUCUAAGUUUUGAAAGAGGGUUUACGUGAUAGAAUCUCUUCAGAAAAUAAGAGUGUUUACGUGAUAGAAUCUCUUCAGAAAAUAUCAGGCUUUUAUGAAGCGGAUCUUGAGCUGCCAUCCAAGAUCAACAUUGCAGUCAUUCAUAAAAGCAAUUGAAAUUGAAACAUAUUAAUACAAUAAAAACUUACACGCAUUCGUACAUUAAAUUAAUAUUUUUUAUCAUGAUUAAGUAAUUAAAUUAAAUAAAAUAUAUGUUAAUUAAUUAUAAUUAAGUAAUAUAAACUCUAAAUUUGAACAUAUAAUACACAUGUAUUGACUUGAUGCAUAUAUUGGAUGCGUUAAUUUUUAACCUAUAAUACCUAUGAGAACUCUUACUACUACUAUCGUUCUAUUCCAAGGAUAUGUAUUUUCGGAUACAAUUUGAACAACAAAAGAUGAUCUCACAAAAUUGUGUUAUUUUUAUUUCAUGUUAAAGUGUUUAUUCAUGAUUUUAUUUAAUUAAUUUAUAAUUUGAAUAGAAGAAAAUGAUUAGAAUUCUUGGUCAAUGAAACUCUUUUCGAGUACAAUUACAUGGAUCUAGUGAGUUUCACAAAUUUAAGUAUAUUACAUAUGGGGAUUAAGGAAGGGAACGUGAAGAAUGUAUCUUGGGUCUAACUCAACUUCUUCAGGAAGAUUGUCCAAUUUCAUAUAAUGAAACUAAUAAUAACCCAUUUCUUUUAUGAUGUGGGAUUCUUAACAUGCGUCACACGUCCGGAUCUUGUUAACUGAAGUGUGAACAAUAUAAUAUGCAUAUCCAAUAUCAGUAAAUAAAAAAUUGGGAUGGACCUAAUUUUGAUACCAUUUAGGGAUCGUCUGAUAGAGUAUAUAAGAAUAAUGUAAAAGAUUAAUGCAAAAGUUUGUGUAUUGUUAAUGCUUGUAUAAGUAAUGCUUGUAUUUUCUCAUGUAGUGUUUGAUUUGAUAUAUUAAAAAUAAUAUGAAUUAUAUAAUUUCUAAAAAUAAUAUAUAUAUAUAUUGAAAAGAAUACGAAAUUUUUUUUGAGAAAUAAUUGUGUCUUUAAUCAUUCUAAUAUAUGCAUUAGAUCCAUUGCAUUACAAAUGUUAUAGAUUUUGGGGUAUUAAUAAUACACAUCUCAAUAUACAAUACAGUGUAUAACUAAUGGCUUGCAUUAGUUAUAUAAAGGCUAAAAAAUAUACUAAAUAAGGUACUAAUAAUACACAAGACUAAUACACACAUUAAUCUUUUUAAUACAUUCUACCAAAAUUUAUAUAAUGAGAUUAAUUAUCCAUCCGUUUUUCGAACGUGGGAUUUUCAAUGGGGAACGCAAUGGGGUGGAUGAAUACAAUAUCAUUAAUGACUAAGCCAUAAGCAAUAACUAUUUUGGUUUCAUAUUCGAUUUCUCUCCACUAACAUUUUUGACUAAAUUUCAAUUCACGCAAAAAAAAAUUAUAUUGAGGGUAAAGGAUAUUUCCUAAUAAAAAUGCCUCAAUUCUUGAAGUUUGAAAUUUGAAUCGAAGUUUCUAAUUAAAGUGCUUCUUUCUCAAAAUAAUUUUCAAACUUCAACCAAUCAUAGUAUACAUCAUACUAAAACUUAUUAGACAUUAUAUACAUCAUACACUUAUUUGACUCAGUACAUCAUAGUGAGACUUUACUUUUGAACAACAAAAAUCAAUUAAUACUCACAGUUGUGAAUUUGAGGGUUGGAGGCUUUACUUUAGAUUUAUACUCCCUUAGUUCACUUUUAACCGUGAUAUUUAUUUCGUAAAAAUUAAUAUAACUAAUCUUUUAAAUUAAUUUAUUGUUUUUAAAAUUUUAUUCACUUUUAACUAUCACAUUUGUUUCGUAAAAACUAAUAUAACUAAUCUGUUGAAUUAAUUUAUUAUUUUAAAAUUUAACUUUAGAUGGUCAAAAAUUGCACAUACAAUUACUGUAAGUUGCAAUCUAUCUCGAAUUCAUAUGAUGAAAAAUAAAUUUUUAAAUAUCGAUCAAAAUUCAUAUACAGUUAAACAUUAGAUAAGCUAAACUAACCAGUAAAAGUGAAAUGGAGUACUUUACAAAGUUGAAUUGCAUGAACAGUGUGAUUCAUUAUUUCUAUAAUACAAAACAAUUUAAAUGCUUGCGAACUCGUGUCAACAUAUUAUUUUGUAUUUCCUCUAUUCUAAUUUAUAUGUCACAAUUGAAGUUUUUAGAUUCAAACCUCUUAACUUAGAUUGAUAUACAAAAUUACAACAAAGUAUUAUUCUAUAAAACACAAAUGAUUAACGAAAUUUUAAUUGUCAUGCAAAUUGGGACGAAUGAAGUACCAAUUAUUCGCUUUUGAUUAUGAUCUUCGAUCCAAAAUUGUAGCAGACCUUUUGAAAUUUUCAAAUUUGUUCUGAUGUAAAAUUUUAUCCAGAUAUAUUUGUAUUGAUUCAAAAUGGAACUUGUGAAUGUGAUAUUUGAAUAAUAAAGUGAUCCAUACAUUUGAUCACGAUCAAUUAAGGUUAAAGUUUUGGAAGCAUUUACACGUAAGAUUAAAGUUUUGGAAGUGUUGCCAUGUGGUAGAAUUUCUUUAGAAAGUAUAAGGCUUUUAUUAGACAGAUUUAAGUUUUGAAAGUAUUUCCAUGUGGUAGAAUUUCUUAAGAAAAUAUAAGGCUUUUAUGAGAAGAAUCUUACUUACUUUUUCGACUUUUUGAAUCAAAUUCAGAUAAGAAUUUUUUUAUCAUAAAUGUCACAAUUACUAGUAUUAAUAUUUUUAUAGUCUGUCUCUGUAAGAUAAGAGUGGAAUCUAUCCUUUAUUUUGUCCUUUUUAUUCACUCGAAUUUUUUUUUUGUUUCAUCGAUUUUGUUCGGAUCCCACCUUCUUCCGAAAAAAGGAAAGGAGAAGGAUAAGGAACAUUCUUCAGUGGAUCUCUCUUGUUCCCUUUUAGUCCCCUUCAUUUUCCUCUCUUUCUUCUAUUUUUUAGGCUUCUUUCAGUUUUUUAGUAAAAAUGAGGGUAUUCUGACUAAAUAGUAAACACAGAUAAUAAAUAAGAAAAUAUUAAAGAUCUGAGCCAUAAAAUUUCUCAAUUCUAACACAAGAUACUUAUUAGAUCUCUUUAGAAAAUAUAAGGCUUUUAUGAGGUGGAUCUUGGGCCACCAUCCAAGAUCAACACUGCAGUCAUUCAUAAAACCAGUUCAAAUUGAAACAUAUAAGUAUCUAUGAGAACUCUUACAAAAUUGUGUUAUUUUUAUCUCGUGUUAAAGUUUAUAUUUAUGAUUUUAUAUAAUCAAAUUAUAAUUUGAAUAGAAGAAGAUGAUUAGAAUUCUUGGUUAAUGAAACUCUGUUCAAGUACAGUUAUAUGUAUCGUAAAUCUUAAGUCUAACUUAAUCCCAAAAGAUAACUCAUGAGGUCAGAAUUAUCCAAGUUCAUAUAUUGUGACCAUUUACCAUUCAUUUUUUGAUAUGGGACCCUUAAUAACAGAGAAAACCAAGAGUACAUGAAUUCGAUAUCAUUAAUGACAAAGAUAUACUAUUUUGGUUUCACAUUUGGUUUCUCUGCAUUAGUACUUUUAACAAUUUUAAUUCAAGUAGAAAAGUUUUAUAUCAAGAGUAAAGGGUGUUUUUUAAUAAAAAUUUCUCCAUACGUGGAGCUUGGAUCGAAAUCUUUAGUUAAAAGAUAAGCAAGAAGUCAUCUACAUAUGAGCUUUUUCCUCAAAAUAAGUAGAUAUAUUGUAUACUAUUAUAAAAUAUUAUAGUUAUUGUGGAUGUCCAUUACUUCAAGAAUUUACUCAUCCACUACUCCAUACACCAUUACCGGGUGUAACUCUUACACCUUUUAACCUCCCCAUAACUUUCAUGGUUAAUGUUAUGUUUACACAACCUUUCAUAUACCUAUCUAUAAUAUUAUAAAUAGAGACAUAAAAAAUUGUAUUGGAUACAUUUAAAACACUUGUACUUUUGAUAUUUGGAAGAAUGAAAAACUCUCAUCUCUUGUCUUCUCUCAAUAAUUUUUGUCUACUUUAUUGUUCAUAAUAUUCAUCCUUUGAUUUAGUUUUAAAAUACGUCAGCACGAAACUCAAGAUAUUAAAAGUAAGGAUAUAUUAUGUAGAAAAAUACCUACUGGCAAAAGGUGUGAAUUUGUGGUUAUUUUUGGUAAUUCUUAAAGGCAUUAUCCUUCUCUGUUUAUAUUAUCUUUUAGAGUUUGGUAUAGCCUUUAAGCAGGCCGUAAAUAUCACAGGUCAAAAUCUUCAUCCUUUAUUGUAACUAUGCCUAAUAUUGUUAAUUUAAUUUAUACUCUUUCAUAUUAAUUGAUGUUGAUAGUCUAGCCACAUCUAAUGUUCAGUAUAUUUGAUUUUCUUUGCAACCAUUCUUAUAUCUACUUGUCAAGAGUUAUGUGAAUGUUGUGCACAUAACAUAAAUAAAUGGUGUAGAGACUAUAUUGACACGAACAGUGCACAUCUUCAUUUUGUUUGAACAAAAUGUGAUGAAUCAUGCAGUGACAGGAUAUAGGUAGUAUAUUUUAUAUUAUCACCUGAUUACUUUGAUAGAAGACUUUUGAGUCUUUUACUCUUUCUUGAUUUAAAUUUGAAUUUGGUGUAAAAAAAAAUGUGAUUUUGAUAAUUAUAUUUUCUGUUCCACAAAAAUUAUUUAACUAUUUUGUUUUUGGUAAAGGAACAACUUACAAUGGAGC
This 6042-nucleotide long non-coding RNA is filed under the name Capsicum annuum. RNAcentral describes it as "long non-coding RNA (CANN_LNC021448)". The record is from RNAcentral. Lineage: Eukaryota; Viridiplantae; Streptophyta; Magnoliopsida; Solanales; Solanaceae.